RNAcentral lists this ribosomal RNA (292 nucleotides) under uncultured bacterium. Its description in RNAcentral is "partial 16S ribosomal RNA". It matches the Rfam family "Bacterial small subunit ribosomal RNA", at positions 505 to 796 of the family's 1533-position model. The record is from RNAcentral.
GUGCCAGCCGCCGCGGUAAGACAGAGGUGGCAAGCGUUGCUCGGAAUCACUGGGCUUAAAGGGUGCGUAGGCGGUUGGGUAAGCAUCCUGUGAAAUCCCCGGGCUCAACCCGGGAACUGCAGGAUGGACUGCUUAACUUGAGGCGUGUAGAGGUCACUGGAACUCUGGGUGGAGCGGUGAAAUGCGUAGAUAUCCAGGGGAACGCCCAUGGCGAAGGCAGGUGACUGGGCACGUCCUGACGCUGAGGCACGAAAGCGUGGGGAGCGAACGGGAUUAGAAACCCCCGUAGUCC